Non-coding RNA from Oncorhynchus gorbuscha (pink salmon), 1161 nucleotides. Lineage: Eukaryota; Metazoa; Chordata; Actinopteri; Salmoniformes; Salmonidae. The record is from the annotation of a RefSeq genome assembly.
AUGCUGUCUGUGUGGGUGGACCAUUUCAGUUUACUCUCGUUGGCGAUCGUGAGCAGUUUAAAUGAAGUGAUUGAAUGUGUCAGUUGUGAGGACCUCACUCCACUCAGGAAAGAGAUUACUGUUUAGAGGGAACCCCUGUUACCUUGUUUUACAACUACUCCAGGACAUCUACUGGUGGAGAUGAAUCACUGUGUCAAGUAACACUUACCAGCAUGCUACUAGGAUACAUUUUAAUAUAUGCACUAGUGGGUGGCUGUCAUGGGAAUGACAUUACUCCAACAACAGAUAAGGUGUUUGGGUUGGAGGGUGAUGUCAUAAAUCUGUCCUGUAACUACUCCUCUGCUAGUACUCUCCAGUGGUAUCACCAGUACCCUGGAUCAUCUCCCAUCUUUCUCCUCCUCACUACAGUCUCCUCAAACCCCUUUGUAGUGAACGCUACUCCUCCAUAUCCACGACUGUCUGUUGAACUGAAUAAGGAGAGAACCCGUGUGGAUCUGAAGAUCUCCUCUGCUGUUGUAACAGACUCUGCUCUGUACUACUGCGCCCUGGAGCCCACAGUGACAGGAAAUCCUGAAACACUGUACAAAAACCCGACAGCUCAUGAUAAACAAUUCUUGUGCAUAUUUUAGUGCAGAGGUGGGGCAUCCUACUGUAGGUUCAAGAAAAUGUAUUAUCUUUUAUUAAAAAACUGUGUUGGGACUUCACUCCAGCAUAUAACCUCAGCAACAAUGGCUCUCUACAGAGUUAUUUUACUUUCUGCUCUGACAGGAUAGUAAAUUAAUGUAUUACUGUCAUUAUUUUUACAACAUUGCUUCGGUUAAUUUAUAGUUUAUCUGCGCUAUUGGAUUAAGGAAUAAACACGAAGAUAUUUCCUCAUUUCAAAUACAUUUCUCUUGUAAUUGAUCUGUCACCUAUUCAUAUUUGCCGGUGACAGUUUUCAGCAGACCUUCCAGACAAACCGACAUGAAGUGUAUGAAGAGGAGGGCAGUAAUGUUCAGCUUUCCUGCUACUACACUCAGCAUACAGUGCUUUGUGGUAUAAACAGUAUCCAGGAGCCCACAGUGACAGGAAACUGAGAAACACUGUACAACAACCAUACAACACUCUGCACUAUACUGCUGUGCUGUGACGUCCACAGUGAUGCAAAAUGUACUGACUCAG